RNAcentral lists this long non-coding RNA (337 nucleotides) under Mytilus galloprovincialis (Mediterranean mussel). Lineage: Eukaryota; Metazoa; Mollusca; Bivalvia; Mytilida; Mytilidae. The record is from RNAcentral.
CGGUCAAUAUAUAGAUGUAACAAUCACAAGUAUGCAGGGGUAAGGUAAUUAUAGGCUAGGGGGGCAAAUGUAAGAUAUGGUAUUCAAAGUAACCUUAUAUCAAACUACAACAGUGUUCACCAACAGAGAAAAAAAAAUCCUUUCAAUGUCUAAAAAACAAUUUUCUAUACCACUUCAACGUCCUAAUAAAUGACCUCAAUCAAGACACAAACUACAAUAUUGUACCACAAUAAAUCAACACUACUAAAUCCCAAUCAAUCAACACUAUUGUAUGAUUUUUUUUUUUUUAAAUCCAAAUGAAAACAAAUCUAACACACCGCAAAUCGCCAAAUCAAAC